Molecule: long non-coding RNA, 305 nt
Filed under: Gallus gallus (chicken)
Lineage: Eukaryota; Metazoa; Chordata; Aves; Galliformes; Phasianidae
Source: RNAcentral
CAGGUCGAGCAGGGAGAUCUCCUUGGGGCCGGCCUUGCUGCUAGGGAUCUUCCUCCGCUUGGCCUCCACUACGGUUGGUGCCUCAGUGCCAGAGUCCGAUCCUGAGGAGCUGCUCUCAGAGGCACUGGCCUCCUCUGAUGAGGACUCAGCAUGACCCUUCUUCCCCUGUGGCCCCGCAGCCUUUUUCACCUUUUUGCCCUCAGCCUCCUCCUCCUCCUCACUGCCCACGCUCCUUGGGGAUGCCUUCCGGGGGGCCUCCCUUCUCCUUCUUCUUCUUCCUCUUCUCCUCCUCCUCCUCCCUCCCC